CUUAAAUGAGUAGAGUAUAGAAAAGGAAGGAAAAGAAGAAGAAACAUAAGAGAAAACAGCAGAAAAGCAGAGAAUACAAAUUAUGUGCAUGUGACGACCGUCACAAAGCUUGUCACGACCGUCACGCCCAGCCUGUCACGACCGUCAUAGGCCCAUCACGACCGUCACAGACCCAUCACGACCGUCACAGGGCCAAAAUCAGCGCAUUGAAUCCGUCAACAGAAGUGAUCCACACGACCCUUA
This 243-nucleotide long non-coding RNA is filed under the name Lathyrus oleraceus (garden pea). RNAcentral's name for it is "Pisum sativum (pea) long non-coding RNA (PSAT_LNC008285)". Lineage: Eukaryota; Viridiplantae; Streptophyta; Magnoliopsida; Fabales; Fabaceae. The record is from RNAcentral.